RNAcentral lists this ribosomal RNA (406 nucleotides) under uncultured bacterium. RNAcentral's name for it is "partial 16S ribosomal RNA". It matches the Rfam family "Bacterial small subunit ribosomal RNA", at positions 29 to 526 of the family's 1533-position model. The record is from RNAcentral.
AUUGAACGCUGGCGGCAGGCCUAACACAUGCAAGUCGAACGAGUGGCGGACGGGUGAGUAAUGUCUGGGAAACUGCCUGAUGGAGGGGGAUAACUACUGGAAACGGUAGCUAAUACCGCAUACCAUCGGAUGUGCCCAGAUGGGAUUAGCUAGUAGGUGGGGUAAAGGCUCACCUAGGCGACGAUCCCUAGCUGGUCUGAGAGGCUGACAAGCCACACUGGAACGGAGAAACGGGCCAGACGCCUCCGGGAGGCAGCAGUGGGGAAGAGUGCACAAUGGGCGCAAGCCUGAUGCAGCCAUGCCGCGUGGAUGAAGAAGUCCUUCGGGUUGUAAAGUACUUUCAGCGGGGAGGCGUUACCCGCAGAAGAAGCACCGGCUAACUCCGUGCCAGCAGCCGCGGUAAUUC